RNAcentral lists this long non-coding RNA (628 nucleotides) under Vigna radiata. RNAcentral's name for it is "long non-coding RNA (VRAD_LNC012070)". Lineage: Eukaryota; Viridiplantae; Streptophyta; Magnoliopsida; Fabales; Fabaceae. The record is from RNAcentral.
GGCAGCACAUGUAUCAGUCCAGUGUUGAAAACACAAUGAACAUCCUCCUCAUCAAGUGGAAACGGCUCCCUAGGAGCACUCUCAUGAGAUGGAGGAGGAACCUUACUGUUCUCAACAUGGAAAUCAACAGGAGGAUCAUAAUCAUAGGCAUAGGCAGAAAAACAGUAUCCACAUAACCAAAAUAGGUAGACAUGGGAAAGAAGGGGGAAAAGAAGAAUGCAAUGAAAAUUUGCAACUAAAGCUACCUAAAUGCAACACACAAUGACGAACACACAAAACAGAACAUCACACUCACAACACAAGACAAAACACAACACACACUAACACAACAAAAGACCUAAAACUGAACCGUUGGUCCCCGGCAACGGCGCCAAAAUUUGAUGUAUGUCGCAGCCCAUGCAAAUUUAUUGAGCAUAAAGAAAUGCAGUAUAGACUAGGAAGUAACUCCUAGGUCGUCUCUCAAGGACCAAAUGUGGUUCGAGAAUUAGGUCAGACCCGAAGUGGGGGGGGGGGUUUGUGAAAAGUUUUGUGAAUGUGGAUGAAUAAAAUUAAAAUACGAAUGCAAACAGAAAUGCAAACACAAAAGUAAAGACGGAAUCAAAUACAGAAUGAAAACGGUUGGUCAUUA